Small nuclear RNA from Erinaceus europaeus (western European hedgehog), 108 nucleotides. The record is from Ensembl. NCBI's taxonomy places the organism in Eukaryota, Metazoa, Chordata, Mammalia, Eulipotyphla, Erinaceidae.
AUGCUCACUUUGGCAGCACAUAAACUAAAGUUGGAAAGAUACAGAGAAGAUUAGCAUGGCCCCAUGUGCAAGGAUGACAUGCAAAUUCAUGACAUGUUCCAUACAUAU